Molecule: ribosomal RNA, 450 nt
Filed under: uncultured bacterium
Lineage: Bacteria
Description: partial 16S ribosomal RNA
Rfam family: Bacterial small subunit ribosomal RNA
Source: RNAcentral
GUGGGGAAUUUUGGACAAUGGGCGCAAGCCUGAUCCAGCAAUGCCGCGUGUGUGAAGAAGGCCUUCGGGUUGUAAAGCACUUUUGUCCGGAAAGAAAUGGCCUGGGUUAAUACCCCGGGUCGAUGACGGUACCGGAAGAAUAAGCACCGGCUAACUACGUGCCAGCAGCCGCGGUAAUACGUAGGGUGCGAGCGUUAAUCGGAAUUACUGGGCGUAAAGCGUGCGCAGGCGGCGAUGCAAGACAGAUGUGAAAUCCCCGGGCUCAACCUGGGAACUGCAUUUGUGACUGCAUGGCUAGAGUGCGUCAGAGGAGGGUGGAAUUCCGCGUGUAGCAGUGAAAUGCGUAGAGAUGCGGAGGAACACCGAUGGCGAAGGCAGCCCCCUGGGAUGACACUGACGCUCAUGCACGAAAGCGUGGGGAGCAAACAGGAUUAGAAACCCUAGUAGUCC